GGGGGCGUAGCUCAGCGGUAGAGCUCAUGGUCUUGCAUGGAGAAGACCCCUGGUUCAAUUCCUAGCAUCCCCA
Podarcis lilfordi (Lilford's wall lizard) is the source of this 73-nucleotide non-coding RNA. Lineage: Eukaryota; Metazoa; Chordata; Lepidosauria; Squamata; Lacertidae. The record is from the annotation of a GenBank genome assembly.